RNAcentral lists this long non-coding RNA (268 nucleotides) under Malus domestica (apple). Its description in RNAcentral is "long non-coding RNA (MDOM_LNC000414)". Lineage: Eukaryota; Viridiplantae; Streptophyta; Magnoliopsida; Rosales; Rosaceae. The record is from RNAcentral.
GAGAUGACAUGGCAUGGCAUGAUUGAUAAAGAGAUAAAUGUUGAGAUAGUAAAAAUGAAAGUUUUGAGAAUAUAUAUGUAUAUUUAUAUUUUACAUUUCUGGGAAGUAUACAGGUUUUACGGAGAGGGGUUACAACGUUUGAGAAAUGUUUGGAUUUGGAAAAGAAUUGUUUUACUGACCCACUCAAUUUUGGUUUUGCGCCCCUCCAGGUUCAGGAAUCACAAAGGUGUGGUGACUACGAGGAAUUCGACGGUGUUCUGACAGAUGG